UACGUAGGGGGCUAGCGUUGUCCGGAUUUAUUGGGCGUAAAGAGCGUGUAGGCGGCCAGGUAGGUCUGCUGUGAAAACUCGAGGCUCAACCUCGAGACGUCGGCGGAAACCAUCUGGCUAGAGUCCGGAAGAGGAGAGUGGAAUUCCUGGUGUAGCGGUGAAAUGCGCAGAUAUCAGGAGGAACACCAGUGGCGAAGGCGGCAUCCUGGACCGGCAUUGACGCUGAGGCGCGAAAGCUAGGGGAGCAAACGGG
This 253-nucleotide ribosomal RNA is filed under the name uncultured bacterium. Its description in RNAcentral is "partial 16S ribosomal RNA". It matches the Rfam family "Bacterial small subunit ribosomal RNA", at positions 524 to 776 of the family's 1533-position model. The record is from RNAcentral.